ACGACACACUACUGAACAUCAUGUGUUCAUGACUCCAGCACUCUCACCAGGAAGCUCUCUGUUGUUUGUAUAUGAUGGUCUUUGAUAAGCCAAGUGCAUAAAGUAACUUGACAGUGUCCAUUAAUUUAAUAAUUAAAGGAAAAACAAUAACAGAUACUGAUUAUUCUGCCAUAACUCCAUCUUGUGUUGUCAAAAUGGGAAUCAAUUUCUUGCAGAAUAUUCACAGUGGGCACAGUCAGUCUUGUAUAUGUCACCAGGCCGGUCUAUAUCUCGUGCAUGGCCCCAGGCUGGUCUAUAUCCCGUGUAUGGCCUCAGGCCGGUCUAUAUCCUGUGCAUGGCCCCAGGCUGGUCUAUAUCCCGUGUAUGGCCUCAGGCCGGUCUAUAUCCUGUGCAUGGCCUCAGGCCGGUCUAUAUCCCGUGCAUGGCCCCUGGCCGGUCUAUAUCCCGUGCAUGGUCCCAGGCCAGUCUAUAUC
Brienomyrus brachyistius is the source of this 473-nucleotide long non-coding RNA. RefSeq lists it as uncharacterized. Lineage: Eukaryota; Metazoa; Chordata; Actinopteri; Osteoglossiformes; Mormyridae. The record is from RefSeq and is a predicted model, not a curated record. The transcript is spliced from 3 exons.